Molecule: long non-coding RNA, 664 nt
Organism: Hemicordylus capensis (graceful crag lizard)
Lineage: Eukaryota; Metazoa; Chordata; Lepidosauria; Squamata; Cordylidae
Exons: 3
Source: RefSeq, a predicted model, not a curated record
GCGUGGGGGUUGCUUAUCCUUGGUUGGGAACGGCAUUUCGCCCAAACGAGCGUGGACGUUUGUGCAUGUGGGGCCUCUUUCUGCGUUCUUCGUAACUGCAGUUCAAAGGGAACAAAGCGGGGUGCUGCUGGUUGUUUGUGAAUCUUGCACGUGCUCUUUUGGGGAGGGGGCUACAAAAAUGCUUCAUUCGAGGGAGCAAAAUGGAAUUCUGAGGAGGUCUGAAUCGGGGAUCUCCUUGGGGUUUGGAAGGCUCCGAAAGUAGUUCAUCGACGAGCAAAAAGGGAUCCAUUGCUGUUGAUAGGUUAUCUAUCAGGACAGAUUGAAUCCAUGAAAAGUCUGGAACCUGCUGACAGCUGCAAAAGUUAUUAAGCAAAAUAUCUGCAUUUCACUUAAGGAAUGGCAAUUGAACAUUUGGAAACUAGUAGCAUAAACGAAAAAGUUUUCUAUCUGUAAUCAAGGCAUCCCUGUCCAUGUUGGGAGACUACUUCAUACAUCCGAGGACAUGAUCCCUCAGAGCUCAAAAUCUCAUGCCCCUAUAUAUGUUAGUCUUUAAGAUUCCACCAGACUCUUUGUAGUUUUAAUCUAGGUUACGUGAUUUAAAGCAUGUCUCCUCACACUACUAUACCUUUCACACAUUUCUUUAAAUAUACUUGCAAAACUUUCA